This 381-nucleotide ribosomal RNA is filed under the name uncultured eukaryote. RNAcentral describes it as "partial 18S ribosomal RNA". It matches the Rfam family "Eukaryotic small subunit ribosomal RNA", at positions 592 to 976 of the family's 1831-position model. The record is from RNAcentral.
CAAUAGCGUAUAUUAAAGCUGUUGCGGUUAAAAAGCUCGUAGUUGGAUUUCUGUCAAGGACAACUGGUCCGCCCUCCGGGUGAGCACAUAGUUUGGUCUUGGCAUCUUGCUGGAAACUGUUGCUGCGCUUGGUUGUGUGGUGCAGCUUUCAGCACUUUCACUUUGAGGAAAUUGGAGUGUUUCAAGCAGGCACAUGCCUUUGGACACAGUAGCAUGGAAUAAUUAGAUUGGGCUUUUGCUCCAACUUGUUGGUUCCUGGAGCUGAGGUGAGAAUCAAUGGGGAUUGUUGGGGGCAUCCGAAUUUAGCCGUCAGAGGUGGAAUUCUUGGAUCUGCUAAAGACGGACAACUGCGAAAGCGUUUGCCCAGGAUGUUUUCAUUGA